CAUCUACAAACAACUUGGGAUCUCUGUGGAAUCGGGCUGGAACCUGGGAGGAAAAAAACCUUAAUACUUGGGCAAGUAAUAGAAUAAAGGAGUUGGUUUGUUCUUUAGGUUCUCUGGAACUUUCUUGGGGUAAAGCGCAUGUUGUUGAGGUGUCCAAAUGUUCAGGCGAUGCUUUCUUGGUCAUUGUGCGUAAUAAAAAAAGAGUUGGCUACAGUUAUGAACUGACAGUGAAGUUUAGAGGGGAGAUAUUAAUCCAAGAGGAGACUAAAAAGUUCAAGGGGCGCCUGGAAAUUCCAGAGUUCUCAUACGGG
This 311-nucleotide unclassified non-coding RNA is filed under the name Hevea brasiliensis (rubber tree). Lineage: Eukaryota; Viridiplantae; Streptophyta; Magnoliopsida; Malpighiales; Euphorbiaceae. The record is from RNAcentral.